Molecule: ribosomal RNA, 480 nt
Filed under: uncultured bacterium
Lineage: Bacteria
Description: partial 16S ribosomal RNA
Rfam family: Bacterial small subunit ribosomal RNA
Source: RNAcentral
GAUGAACGCUGGCGGCGUGCUUAACACAUGCAAGUCGAACGAAGCAUUUGCGACAGAUUUUUUCGGAAUGAAGUUGCUUAUGACUGAGUGGCGGACGGGUGAGUAACGCGUGGGUAACCUGCCUUGUACUGGGGGAUAGCAGCUGGAAACGGCUGGUAAUACCGCAUAAGCGCACAAUGUUGCAUGACAUGGUGUGAAAAACUCCGGUGGUAUAAGAUGGACCGCGUCUGAUUAGCUAGUUGGUGAGAUAACAGCCCACCAAGGCGACGAUCAGUAGCCGACCUGAGAGGGUGACCGGCCACAGUGGGACUGAGACACGGCCCAGACUCCUACGGGAGGCAGCAGUGGGGAAUAUUGCACAAUGGAGGAAACUCUGAUGCAGCGACGCCGCGUGAGUGAAGAAGUAAUUCGUUAUGUAAAGCUCUAUCAGCAGGGAAGAUAGUGACGGUACCUGACUAAGAAGCUCCGGCUAAAUACGUG